GGCACUGUGGCUCAAGUGGUAGAGCGCUAGCCUUGAGCUCUAGAGCUGAGGGACAGUGCCC
This is a non-coding RNA of Dipodomys ordii (Ord's kangaroo rat), 61 nucleotides long. The record is from Rfam. Lineage: Eukaryota; Metazoa; Chordata; Mammalia; Rodentia; Heteromyidae.